This 454-nucleotide ribosomal RNA is filed under the name Dactylopius coccus. RNAcentral describes it as "partial 12S ribosomal RNA". Lineage: Eukaryota; Metazoa; Arthropoda; Insecta; Hemiptera; Dactylopiidae. The record is from RNAcentral.
UUUAAAUUUACAAUUCAUAUUCAAUAAAAUUAAAAAAUUAAUAUUAAAUUUUAAUCUAAAUUCAAUCAACUAAUUAAUGUUCUAAUUUUUAUUAAUUAUAAUUUACAUAUCGAUCUAUCAUUAAAUUUUAAUUAAACACAUAAAUUAUAAUUUAAUAACCCAUUAACAACUAUAUAUAUAAAAUAAAUUAAUUUAAAUUCAUAGAGUAAUUUCUAUUUAAAAAACAAGAUUCUUUAAUAAUUAAAUACCGCCAAAUAAGUUAACUUUAAUACUAAUAUAUUAAUCAUAAUAAAUUUCAUUAAUCUACUAGGGUAUCUAAUCCUAUUAAUUUUAACCAACUAAAAUUAAAAAUUAAAAAUUAAAUUAACAAAAAUUAAUUUCACCUAUAAUUAUUAACUAAAAUCAAACCAAAAUUUUUAAAUCUUAAAUUAACUUAAAUCUUGCUAAUCAUGUA